GAAGGCCUUCGGGUCGUAAAGCACUUUUCUGAGAGAUGAGAAAGGACAGUAUCUCAGGAAUAAGUCUCGGCUAACUACGUGCCAGCAGCCGCGGUAAAACGUAGGAGGCGAGCGUUAUCCGGAUUCACUGGGCGUAAAGCGCGUGCAGGUGGUUCGGUAAGUUGGGCGUGAAAUCUCCCGGCUCAACUGGGAGAGGUCGUUCAAUACUACCGAACUUGAGAGCAGAAGAGGAAGAUGGAAUUCCCGGUGUAGUGGUGAAAUGCGUAGAUAUCGGGAGGAACACCAGUGGCGAAGGCGAUCUUCUGGUCUGUUUCUGACACUCAGACGCGACAGCUAGGGUAGUAAACGGGAUUAGAGACCCCGGUAAUCCUAGCCGUAAACGAUGUGAACUUGGCGUUGGUGGGUUAAACUCCAUCAGUGCCGAAGCAAACGCGAUAAGUUCACCGCCUGGGGACUACGGCCGCAAGGUUAAAACUCA
RNAcentral lists this ribosomal RNA (478 nucleotides) under uncultured bacterium. RNAcentral describes it as "bacterial SSU rRNA". It matches the Rfam family "Bacterial small subunit ribosomal RNA", at positions 410 to 903 of the family's 1533-position model. The record is from RNAcentral.